CGACGCCAUCGCGCAACUUGGUCCGCUGCCCGCGCUGACGGCGCGGCGCAGGCAGAUCGACGUGCUGAUCGCGUCGGGCGGCGC
This 84-nucleotide transfer RNA is filed under the name Caballeronia pedi. Its description in RNAcentral is "Burkholderia pedi tRNA-Val". The record is from RNAcentral. Lineage: Bacteria; Pseudomonadati; Pseudomonadota; Betaproteobacteria; Burkholderiales; Burkholderiaceae.